UAUUUUGUGAUCAUGUCUAUAUCAUUUCAGGGUUUGGAUCUGGAUUUUUGAGAUGAACUGGAAUAACAUAGGAAACCGGCUUCUCUCAGCCAUUUUUCCUCAGCCAAUGGCAGGAGGAUACAAUCCCCAAUAUCCACCAGGCACUGUCUACCCUCCUCAGCCUUGGGGUGCACCUGGGUACGGUACUGUAGCCCCACCUUAUGGAGGGUAUGGACCUGGCUAUGAGUCUUGGCAGGGAUAUGAGCACAGGCAUCGUCAUCAUCAUCAUCAUCAUGGUCAUCAUCAUGGACAUCAUCAUGGUCAUCAUCAUGGUCAUCAUCACCAUCAUGGCUGCUAACACAAUCAUGGUCACAAGAAAGGAAGCACGUGUCAUGGGUACUCCAGCAGCGACUCGGACUAGAUGAAGAUGAAGGAAACAAGACAAGUUGCCACCAGGAAUCCUUCACCCUGCUACCUUAUAGUAGAUUAUAAUAAACAGUUUGUUUGAUUUCAAAUGUUGGGAUUAUAAAACGCACCACAAGGUUUUUAGAAAGCUGUUAAAGUCAGGUUCAGCUGUUACAUAUUAUGAAGUGUUUAGCCAAUGUAUUUGAAAAUAGAAGUAAUGUAUUGUAGUGAUGUAUUAGCUUCGGCAGUAGUCAGUGUGUGACAAGGGGUAUGUUUUUGAUGUAUUUGACAAUAAUUGUAAUUGUUCCCUUGUGGUAAACAACAUAAAAAAGGUUUCUGUUAUUCAUAAAAUCAUGUCAUCCUGCAAUGCCCUGCCUCUUUAUUCCCUAUUCCAUUUGACCUCAUAGUUUCCAUUACUCUGUGUGUGUUUUCUAUCAGUGUGUAUUAAAAUUAUUUUUAUGUA
Long non-coding RNA from Perca fluviatilis (European perch), 847 nucleotides. RefSeq lists it as uncharacterized. The record is from RefSeq and is a predicted model, not a curated record. The transcript is spliced from 4 exons. Lineage: Eukaryota; Metazoa; Chordata; Actinopteri; Perciformes; Percidae.